ACUAGAUCAAUUUGAGGUUCUUUACUUGGAUUGCGAAGAAAUGCAAUCUCCUUUCAUACACUAUUCAUAAGAGUUUGAAAAUCUGCAAGAGUUGCCACUCUAUUGUCUACUUGUGGAGAUGCAAUGUCUAUGACUUAGUCUACUUCCAUAUUUAGAGAAUAGAUGGAUUAAAAUUUUGAGAGAAGAAGAAAUUGCUAAGUCUCUUGGAGAAAAUUGUAGCACUACCUGUCACUAAAACCUACUCGGAGAAAAGGAAAUAAAAACACUAAACGAUUUCAGUUUUAGAGGAUGGUAAUCCGCAACCUCUAAAAAUGCCUCAAUGCUUUCGAGAAGAGGGGUAAUCCGUACUCUAUCAAGAAGGCAAAGCUCUGAAAUCGAUGUUAACAGUCUUUUCUACUAGCUAUGCUAAACAAAAAGAAGGAAUUAAUAUCAGUCCAAGAGAGGGUAAUCCGCAACCCUUAGAACGCUCAAGUAUCUCCAAGGAAAGGGGUAGUCCACUCUCUGCCUCAAAGAACUAAGCUCUGAUAUUGUGAUUGAGAAAAUAUCAGUUUAGAGGAAGGUAAUCCGCAACCCCUAAAGCGCUAGAAUACCUUCAAGAAGAGGGGUAAUCCACUCUCAAACAAGAAGGAUUCAGCUCUGAUAUUAAGAUAAAGGUAGUCUCGACAAACUGUCACGGACACAAAAUACAGACUUGAAAUCUAACAAGAAGUUCAAGAAGAAGUGGCAGAACUAGAUUAAACAGAUGAAUACAAGAACAACACCAGAAAGGUGAGC
Molecule: long non-coding RNA, 774 nt
Filed under: Physcomitrium patens
Lineage: Eukaryota; Viridiplantae; Streptophyta; Bryopsida; Funariales; Funariaceae
Description: long non-coding RNA (PPAT_LNC004621)
Source: RNAcentral